UGCGUAGGGGGCAAGCGUUGUCCGGAAUCAUUGGGCGUAAAGCGCGCGUAGGCGGCCCGGUAAGUCCGUUGUGAAAGUCAAAGGCUCAACCUUUGAACGCCGAUGGAUACUGCCGGGCUAGAGUCCGGAAGAGGCGAGUGGAAUUCCUGGUGUAGCGGUGGAAUGCGCAGAUAUCAGGAGGAACACCAAUAGCGAAGGCAGCUCGCUGGGACGGUACUGACGCUGAGGCGCGAAAGCGUGGGGAGCGAACAGG
Molecule: ribosomal RNA, 253 nt
Filed under: uncultured bacterium
Lineage: Bacteria
Description: partial 16S ribosomal RNA
Rfam family: Bacterial small subunit ribosomal RNA
Source: RNAcentral